RNAcentral lists this ribosomal RNA (2899 nucleotides) under Shigella flexneri K-1770. RNAcentral's name for it is "bacterial LSU rRNA". It matches the Rfam family "Bacterial large subunit ribosomal RNA". The record is from RNAcentral. Lineage: Bacteria; Pseudomonadati; Pseudomonadota; Gammaproteobacteria; Enterobacterales; Enterobacteriaceae.
UAAGCGACUAAGCGUACACGGUGGAUGCCCUGGCAGUCAGAGGCGAUGAAGGACGUGCUAAUCUGCGAUAAGCGUCGGUAAGGUGAUAUGAACCGUUAUAACCGGCGAUUUCCGAAUGGGGAAACCCAGUGUGAUUCGUCACACUAUCAUUAACUGAAUCCAUAGGUUAAUGAGGCGAACCGGGGGAACUGAAACAUCUAAGUACCCCGAGGAAAAGAAAUCAACCGAGAUUCCCCCAGUAGCGGCGAGCGAACGGGGAGCAGCCCAGAGCCUGAAUCAGUGUGUGUGUUAGUGGAAGCGUCUGGAAAGGCGUGCGAUACAGGGUGACAGCCCCGUACACAAAAAUGCACAUACUGUGAGCUCGAUGAGUAGGGCGGGACACGUGGUAUCCUGUCUGAAUAUGGGGGGACCAUCCUCCAAGGCUAAAUACUCCUGACUGACCGAUAGUGAACCAGUACCGUGAGGGAAAGGCGAAAAGAACCCCGGCGAGGGGAGUGAAAAAGAACCUGAAACCGUGUACGUACAAGCAGUGGGAGCACGCUUAGGCGUGUGACUGCGUACCUUUUGUAUAAUGGGUCAGCGACUUAUAUUCUGUAGCAAGGUUAACCGAAUAGGGGAGCCGAAGGGAAACCGAGUCUUAACUGGGCGUUAAGUUGCAGGGUAUAGACCCGAAACCCGGUGAUCUAGCCAUGGGCAGGUUGAAGGUUGGGUAACACUAACUGGAGGACCGAACCGACUAAUGUUGAAAAAUUAGCGGAUGACUUGUGGCUGGGGGUGAAAGGCCAAUCAAACCGGGAGAUAGCUGGUUCUCCCCGAAAGCUAUUUAGGUAGCGCCUCGUGAAUUCAUCUCCGGGGGUAGAGCACUGUUUCGGCAAGGGGGUCAUCCCGACUUACCAACCCGAUGCAAACUGCGAAUACCGGAGAAUGUUAUCACGGGAGACACACGGCGGGUGCUAACGUCCGUUGUGAGAGGGAAACAACCCAGACCGCCAGCUAAGGUCCCAAAGUCAUGGUUAAGUGGGAAACGAUGUGGGAAGGCCCAGACAGCCAGGAUGUUGGCUUAGAAGCAGCCAUCAUUUAAAGAAAGCGUAAUAGCUCACUGGUCGAGUCGGCCUGCGCGGAAGAUGUAACGGGGCUAAACCAUGCACCGAAGCUGCGGCAGCGACGCUUAUGCGUUGUUGGGUAGGGGAGCGUUCUGUAAGCCUGUGAAGGUGUACUGUGAGGUAUGCUGGAGGUAUCAGAAGUGCGAAUGCUGACAUAAGUAACGAUAAAGCGGGUGAAAAGCCCGCUCGCCGGAAGACCAAGGGUUCCUGUCCAACGUUAAUCGGGGCAGGGUGAGUCGACCCCUAAGGCGAGGCCGAAAGGCGUAGUCGAUGGGAAACAGGUUAAUAUUCCUGUACUUGGUGUUACUGCGAAGGGGGGACGGAGAAGGCUAUGUUGGCCGGGCGACGGUUGUCCCGGUUUAAGCGUGUAGGCUGGUUUUCCAGGCAAAUCCGGAAAAUCAAGGCCGAGGCGUGAUGACGAGGCACUACGGUGCUGAAGCAACAAAUGCCCUGCUUCCAGGAAAAGCCUCUAAGCAUCAGGUAACAUCAAAUCGUACCCCAAACCGACACAGGUGGUCAGGUAGAGAAUACCAAGGCGCUUGAGAGAACUCGGGUGAAGGAACUAGGCAAAAUGGUGCCGUAACUUCGGGAGAAGGCACGCUGAUACGUAGGUGAAGCGACUUGCUCGUGGAGCUGAAAUCAGUCGAAGAUACCAGCUGGCUGCAACUGUUUAUUAAAAACACAGCACUGUGCAAACACGAAAGUGGACGUAUACGGUGUGACGCCUGCCCGGUGCCGGAAGGUUAAUUGAUGGGGUUAGCGCAAGCGAAGCUCUUGAUCGAAGCCCCGGUAAACGGCGGCCGUAACUAUAACGGUCCUAAGGUAGCGAAAUUCCUUGUCGGGUAAGUUCCGACCUGCACGAAUGGCGUAAUGAUGGCCAGGCUGUCUCCACCCGAGACUCAGUGAAAUUGAACUCGCUGUGAAGAUGCAGUGUACCCGCGGCAAGACGGAAAGACCCCGUGAACCUUUACUAUAGCUUGACACUGAACAUUGAGCCUUGAUGUGUAGGAUAGGUGGGAGGCUUUGAAGUGUGGACGCCAGUCUGCAUGGAGCCGACCUUGAAAUACCACCCUUUAAUGUUUGAUGUUCUAACGUGGACCCGUAAUCCGGGUUGCGGACAGUGUCUGGUGGGUAGUUUGACUGGGGCGGUCUCCUCCUAAAGAGUAACGGAGGAGCACGAAGGUUGGCUAAUCCUGGUCGGACAUCAGGAGGUUAGUGCAAUGGCAUAAGCCAGCUUGACUGCGAGCGUGACGGCGCGAGCAGGUGCGAAAGCAGGUCAUAGUGAUCCGGUGGUUCUGAAUGGAAGGGCCAUCGCUCAACGGAUAAAAGGUACUCCGGGGAUAACAGGCUGAUACCGCCCAAGAGUUCAUAUCGACGGCGGUGUUUGGCACCUCGAUGUCGGCUCAUCACAUCCUGGGGCUGAAGUAGGUCCCAAGGGUAUGGCUGUUCGCCAUUUAAAGUGGUACGCGAGCUGGGUUUAGAACGUCGUGAGACAGUUCGGUCCCUAUCUGCCGUGGGCGCUGGAGAACUGAGGGGGGCUGCUCCUAGUACGAGAGGACCGGAGUGGACGCAUCACUGGUGUUCGGGUUGUCAUGCCAAUGGCACUGCCCGGUAGCUAAAUGCGGAAGAGAUAAGUGCUGAAAGCAUCUAAGCACGAAACUUGCCCCGAGAUGAGUUCUCCCUGACCCUUUAAGGGUCCUGAAGGAACGUUGAAGACGACGACGUUGAUAGGCCGGGUGUGUAAGCGCAGCGAUGCGUUGAGCUAACCGGUACUAAUGAACCGUGAGGCUUAACCU